UACACCAGUGAUGACAGCUGGUGGCAUAUUAGUUAGAAACAAUGAAUACUUUGUGUCUGGAACUCGGAGGUCCAC
Molecule: small nucleolar RNA, 75 nt
Organism: Hippopotamus amphibius kiboko
Lineage: Eukaryota; Metazoa; Chordata; Mammalia; Artiodactyla; Hippopotamidae
Product: small nucleolar RNA SNORD113/SNORD114 family
Exons: 1
Source: RefSeq, a predicted model, not a curated record